This 69-nucleotide transfer RNA is filed under the name Marmota monax (woodchuck). It matches the Rfam family "tRNA". Rfam says of the family: Transfer RNA (tRNA) molecules are approximately 80 nucleotides in length. Their secondary structure includes four short double-helical elements and three loops (D, anti-codon, and T loops). Further hydrogen bonds mediate the characteristic L-shaped molecular structure. tRNAs have two regions of fundamental functional importance: the anti-codon, which is responsible for specific mRNA codon recognition, and the 3' end, to which the tRNAs corresponding amino acid is attached (by aminoacyl-tRNA synthetases). tRNAs cope with the degeneracy of the genetic code in two manners: having more than one tRNA (with a specific anti-codon) for a particular amino acid; and 'wobble' base-pairing, i.e. permitting non-standard base-pairing at the 3rd anti-codon position. Lineage: Eukaryota; Metazoa; Chordata; Mammalia; Rodentia; Sciuridae. The record is from Rfam by way of RNAcentral.
GGGGCUGGGGCUCAGUGGCAGAGCACUCACCUAGUAUGUGCGAGGUGCUGGGUUCGAUCCUCAGCCCCA